This is an RNA transcript of Gadus chalcogrammus (walleye pollock), 2145 nucleotides long. It is a transcript of the gene named caldesmon 1a, with no coding region annotated. The transcript has 15 exons. The record is from RefSeq and is a predicted model, not a curated record. NCBI's taxonomy places the organism in Eukaryota, Metazoa, Chordata, Actinopteri, Gadiformes, Gadidae.
GGUGGAGGAAGGGGAGCAGACAUCAUAUCUCUUCAGCCCCUCGGUGACCAGACGGUGGGAAGAUGAGGUUGUCCCGGUAGGAAGCGGCGGAAAGUAAUUGUGACAAACCUUUAGGGUGCUGCUCUAGAGCUAACCGAGGAUCCACGAUACACUUAAGAGAACCGCUUACUUUUUCCCUCGCUUGUAGCAUUCUACUUUUAUCGUGGUAAAGUUACAUCAAUACAACGAAAGGCGUAAAGCAUGGAGGACAUGGACUUCGAGAGGCGCCGGGAGCUCAGACGGCAGAAGCGUGAGGAGAUGCGCCUGGAAGCUGAACGCCUGGCGAAGAACGAUGAAGACGAGGAGGAGGCGGCGAGGGAGAGGAGGCGCAGGGCGCGCCAGGACCGGAUGAAGGGCAGGGACGGGGAGGAGCCCUGUGGACAGACUGACGGCGGGACCAACAGCCACAGCGUGACGGAGACGGUGUCUGUGAGCAGCUCCUACAGUGGGGGAGGAGGAGGAGGAGGAGGAGGAGGAGGAGGAGAAGGAGGAGACGAGGAGGAGCAGGCGCUGCUAGAGCGCAUGGCCAAGAGGGAGGAGCGUCGGCAGAAGCGCAUGAUGGAGGCGCUGGAGCGCCAGCGGGAGCUGGACGGCACCGGGUCCGGGAUGGACGCCCCCGGCAACGGUGGGGGAGGCGACGCAGCGGGGAAGAACGACGAAGAGGCGGGGCAGCCCUCCUGGCGCGGGGGUCACCGUGACGACGGGGAGGAGGAGGAGGAGGAGCAGCAGAAGCCGGUGAUGUAUGGCAGCAGCAGCAGAAGGAGGGAGGAAGAGGAGGAGGAGGAGGAGGUGGAGAAGUAUGAGGAAGAGGAGGUGGUGGAGGCGGAGGUGGAGCUUGGAGGAGAAGAGGAGAUGGAGCAGAGACGGGAGGAGGAGGAGGAGGAGAAGCCCAGGAGGUCUAGCAUCAGGGAACAGGUGAAUGAGAGGGGCGGGGCCAGAGAGGAGAGGGGGAGUCAGAACGGUGGCGUUCACCAGGAAGCUCCUCCCAAGCAACUUAGGAAACCCGAGAGGAUCCCGAGCCGCAGCUCCCUCCGUUCCCCGGAGGCGUCCGCGGUUGCCGCCGACAACCAGGACGAGGACGCCGACGCCCGCCUCGCGGAGCGGAAGCUGGAGGAGCUGAAGCGUCGCCGCGACGACACGGAGAGCAAGGAGUUUGAGCGGCUGCGGCAGAAGCAGCAGGAGGCGGACGCCCAGCUGGAGGGGCUGAAGAGCAAGAGGGAGGAGAGGAGGAAGGUGCUGGAGGAGGAGGAGCACCAGAGGAAGCAGGAGGAGGGCGACCGGAAGGCCAGGGAGGAGGAGGAGAAGAGGAGGAUGAAGGAGGAGAUCGAGAGAAGAAGAGCGGAGGCCGCAGAGAAGAGACAGAAGGGGGAGGAGGGGCUGGAUGGAGAGGGGAAGGCGUUCAAGUGUGUGAGCCCUAGAGGCUCCUCCCUCAAGAUCGAGGAGAGAACAGAGUUCCUCAACAAGUCGGCACAGAGAAGCUCGGUGAAACUGCCUCACUCUCCUGUUGUCUCCAAGAUUGACAACCGGCUGGAGCAGUACACUUCAGCUGCCCAGAGGGAGAACAGGGAGUCUCGCUCGCCCCGUUCGGGGGCCUCUGACCUGCCCCUGGUCACCGAUGGCGUCCGCAGCAUCAAGAGCAUGUGGGAGAAGGGCAACGCCUUCUCCUCGCCUGGAGGGGGCGCCGGGGCGUUCAAGGAAACAGCUGUGGUGAAGAUAGGUGUGGCGGGACGCAUCAACGACUGGCUCAACAAAACCCCCGAGAGCGGCAAAACGGCGGGAGGAGGGAGGCCGGUGGACCUGAAGCCUGUUGACGUCACCAACAAGAGAAGUCUAUGGGAAAACAAAGGCACCACCCCCACCAAGAACUCCUUUAGCUAGUUUUCAUCGUCGUUAAAUCUGGAAGAAGCCCCGAGAGAUGACAGGCAGAGGGGAGGCAAAAUCAGUCGCAAAUGGUAUGGGACACUAAUAUCUCCAGAGGCUGCUGCAGCAACAACCAGGGACCAAGACGAUCUAAUCCAAGCCUCUUCCUUUAGACCCAGUCUUAUGUAUCCAGUAAAGACACACCCACAAGACGACACGCCCACCAACCAGGGGGGCGGAGGGGAA